Molecule: long non-coding RNA, 204 nt
Filed under: Zostera marina
Lineage: Eukaryota; Viridiplantae; Streptophyta; Magnoliopsida; Alismatales; Zosteraceae
Description: long non-coding RNA (ZMAR_LNC001703)
Source: RNAcentral
GCGACGAUGGACGUCGAUCAACACGACGUUGAGACGUUGAGUCUCAGCCACGGCCACGUUGUUAGGGACGUCGACGGGCGACAUCAGGCACAUGGCCCAGGCGGCGUGCUGAAGCUGCACUUCGCGACCGUACUCCUCGAGGAUAUCUUGAACACUCAUGGCGGAAGGGGGGAUGGUAUGAGAAGUCGAAGAGUCGAGUAGGCU